Molecule: Y RNA, 98 nt
Organism: Callithrix jacchus (white-tufted-ear marmoset)
Lineage: Eukaryota; Metazoa; Chordata; Mammalia; Primates; Cebidae
Rfam family: Y RNA
About the family: Y RNAs are components of the Ro ribonucleoprotein particle (Ro RNP), in association with Ro60 and La proteins.
Source: Ensembl
GGCUGGGCUGAGCGCAGCGGUGUUUACACAUAAUCCAUCACAACCAGUUGCAGAUUUGUUACUUCUCCACUUCCACUGCUUCACUUGAUCAGCCUUAA